UGGGGAAUCUUGCGCAAUGGGGGAAACCCUGACGCAGCGACGCCGCGUGCGGGAUGAAGGCCUUCGGGUUGUAAACCGCUUUCAGCAGGGACGAGGCCUUAUGGUGACGGUACCUGCAGAAGAAGCUCCGGCUAAAUACGUGCCAGCAGCCGCGGUAAUACGUAUGGAGCAAGCGUUAUCCGGAUUCAUUGGGCGUAAAGCGCUCGUAGGCGGUCUGUUAGGUCGGCAAGUUAAAUCCGGGGGCUCAACCCCCGUCCGCUUCCGAUACCGGCAGACUUGAGUUUGGUAGGGGAAGGUGGAAUUCCUAGUGUAGCGGUGGAAUGCGCAGAUAUUAGGAAGAACACCGGUGGCGAAGGCGGCCUUCUGGGCCAUAACUGACGCUGGGGAGCGAAAGCUAGGGGAGCGAACAGG
Molecule: ribosomal RNA, 411 nt
Filed under: Verrucomicrobiota bacterium
Lineage: Bacteria; Pseudomonadati; Verrucomicrobiota
Description: Verrucomicrobia bacterium partial 16S ribosomal RNA
Rfam family: Bacterial small subunit ribosomal RNA
Source: RNAcentral